GGGGCCGUAGCUCAAUCGGGAGAGCACCUGGUCUGCACCCAGGCGGUUGUCGGUUCGAUGCCGACCGGUUCCA
RNAcentral lists this transfer RNA (73 nucleotides) under Myxococcales bacterium. RNAcentral's name for it is "tRNA-Ala". Lineage: Bacteria; Pseudomonadati; Myxococcota; Myxococcia; Myxococcales. The record is from RNAcentral.